Molecule: long non-coding RNA, 176 nt
Organism: Panicum hallii
Lineage: Eukaryota; Viridiplantae; Streptophyta; Magnoliopsida; Poales; Poaceae
Exons: 3
Source: RefSeq, a predicted model, not a curated record
GGUGUCUUCCGAUCUUGAAAAUAAGCAUAGAUCCGGACAUUCCCAAAUAGGUCAACCUUUUUAACUGCCUGCUGAAUCCAUGAGCAGGCAAGAGACAACCUGGCAAACUGAAACAUCUUAGUAGCCAGAGGAAAAGAAAGCAAAAGCGAUUCCCGUAGUAGCGGCGAGCAAAAGGG